ACGCCGCGUGAGGGAUGAAGGCCUUCGGGUUGUAAACCUCUUUUAGCAGGGAAGAAGCGAAAGUGACGGUACCUGCAGAAAAAGCACCGGCUAACUACGUGCCAGCAGCCGCGGUAAUACGUAGGGUGCAAGCGUUGUCCGGAAUUAUUGGGCGUAAAGAGCUCGUAGGCGGUUUGUCGCGUCUGCUGUGAAAAUCCAAGGCUCAACCUUGGACCUGCAGUGGGUACGGGCAGACUAGAGUGCGGUAGGGGAGAUGGGAAUUCCUGGUGUAGCGGUGGAAUGCGCAGAUAUCAGGAGGAACACCAAUGGCGAAGGCACAUCUCUGGGCCGUAACUGACGCUGAGGAGCGAAAGCGUGGGGAGCGAACAGGAUUAGAUACCCUGGUAGUCCACGCCGUAAACGGUGGGUGCUAGUUGUGGGCCACAUUCCACGUGGUCCGUGACGAAGUUAACACAUUAAGCACCCCGCCUGGGGAGUACGGUCGCAAGACUAAAACUCAAA
Molecule: ribosomal RNA, 501 nt
Filed under: uncultured bacterium
Lineage: Bacteria
Description: bacterial SSU rRNA
Rfam family: Bacterial small subunit ribosomal RNA
Source: RNAcentral